Molecule: ribosomal RNA, 440 nt
Filed under: uncultured bacterium
Lineage: Bacteria
Description: partial 16S ribosomal RNA
Rfam family: Bacterial small subunit ribosomal RNA
Source: RNAcentral
CCUACGGGAGUCAGCAGUAGGGAAUAUUGCUCAAUGGGGGAAACCCUGACGCAGCAACGCCGCGUGGAGGAUGAAGGUUUUCGGAUUGUAAACUCCUUUUGUUAGAGAAGAUAAUGACGGUAUCUAACGAAUAAGCACCGGCGAACUCCGUGCCAGCAGCCGCGGUAAUACGUAGGGUGCAAGCGUUACUCGGAAUCACUGGGCGUAAAGAGCGCGUAGGCGGGAGAGCAAGUCAGAUGUGAAGUCCUAUGGCUUAACCAUAGAACUGCAUUUGAAACUGUUAUUCUAGAGUAUGGGAGAGGUAGGUGGAAUUCUUGGUGUAGGGGUAACAUCCGUAGAGAUCAAGAGGAAUACUCAUUGCGAAGGCGACUUGCUAGAACAUAACUGACGCUGAUGCGCGAAAGCGUGGGGAGCAAACAGGAUUAGAUACCCCAGUAGUC